Puma concolor (puma) is the source of this 147-nucleotide non-coding RNA. The record is from RefSeq and is a predicted model, not a curated record. Lineage: Eukaryota; Metazoa; Chordata; Mammalia; Carnivora; Felidae.
AGCUUUGCACAGUGGCAGUAUUGUAGCCAGUGAGGUUUAUCUGAGGCGUGAUUAUGGCUGAUUGAAAACUUACCUGCCAUUAUUACUGGUGUCUCUUUUCUGAUUUACUUUUGGCUAAGUUUAGGAAUGGUUGCCAACACCUCUGUU